CAGCAGCCGCGGGAAUACAGAGGGUGCAAGCGUUAAUCGGAUUUACUGGGCGUAAAGGGCGCGUAGGUGGUUAUUUAAGUGAGAUGUGAAAGCCCCGGGCUUAACCUGGGAACUGCAUCUUAUACUGGGUAACUGGAGUGCAGUAGAGGGUAGUGGAAUUUCCGGUGUAGCGGUGAAAUGCGUAGAUAUCGGAAGGAACACCAGUGGCGAAGGCGGCUACCUGGACUGACACUGACACUGAGGCGCGAGAGCGUGGGGAGCAAACAGGAUUAGAGACCCCAGUAGUCCCUGUCUCUUAUAC
Molecule: ribosomal RNA, 301 nt
Filed under: uncultured bacterium
Lineage: Bacteria
Description: partial 16S ribosomal RNA
Rfam family: Bacterial small subunit ribosomal RNA
Source: RNAcentral